This 440-nucleotide ribosomal RNA is filed under the name uncultured bacterium. RNAcentral's name for it is "partial 16S ribosomal RNA". It matches the Rfam family "Bacterial small subunit ribosomal RNA", at positions 338 to 795 of the family's 1533-position model. The record is from RNAcentral.
CCUACGGGAGGCAGCAGUGGGGAAUAUUGGACAAUGGGGGAAACCCUGAUGCAGCGACGCCGCGUGAGUGAAGAAGUAUUUCGGUAUGUAAAGCUCUAUCAGCAGGGAAGAAAAUGACGGUACCUGACUAAGAAGCCCCGGCUAACUACGUGCCAGCAGCCGCGGUAAUACGUAGGGGGCAAGCGUUAUCCGGAUUUACUGGGUGUAAAGGGAGCGUAGACGGCGGCGCAAGUCUGGAGUGAAAUGCCGGGGCUUAACCCCGGGACUGCUUUGGAAACUGUGCAGCUAGAGUGCAGGAGAGGUAAGUGGAAUUCCUAGUGUAGCGGUGAAAUGCGUAGAUAUUAGGAGGAACACCAGUGGCGAAGGCGGCUUACUGGACUGUAACUGACGUUGAGGCUCGAAAGCGUGGGGAGCAAACAGGAUUAGAUACCCCUGUAGUC